This 353-nucleotide ribosomal RNA is filed under the name uncultured bacterium. RNAcentral describes it as "bacterial SSU rRNA". It matches the Rfam family "Bacterial small subunit ribosomal RNA", at positions 1037 to 1390 of the family's 1533-position model. The record is from RNAcentral.
GGUGCUGCAUGGCUGUCGUCAGCUCGUGUCGUGAGGUGUUGGGUUAAGUCCCGCAACGAGCGCAACCCUUAUCUUUAGUUGCCAGCAUGUUUGGGUGGGCACUCUAAAGAGACUGCCGGUGACAAGCCGGAGGAAGGUGGGGAUGACGUCAAGUCCUCAUGGCCCUUAUGUCCUGGGCUACACACGUGCUACAAUGGCGGUGACAGUGGGAAGCUAGAUGGUGACAUCAUGCCGAUCUCUAAAAACCGUCUCAGUUCGGAUUGCACUCUGCAACUCGAGUGCAUGAAGGUGGAAUCGCUAGUAAUCGCGGAUCAGCAUGCCGCGGUGAAUACGUUCCCGGGUCUUGUACACAC